GGCAUAACAAGUGUUGAGUUGGCUAAACAUAGUCAUCAAUAAACAUUAAGAUCAUGUAUCAAAAGGGAUUACAAUAUACUAUGGUCAAGCACACUUCUAACCUUAAUAUCGUUACAUUACAUAUCUAUACAUUAUUAUACAAUCUGUCAUGUCCACAUUCUAACUAUUACAUACAUAAGACUUCAUUACUCUUCUUGACUUCUCUGUCUAACCCGUACCUACAAACCUGGGGAAUUUGGGAGAGGGGUGAGCUACUAGAGCUCAGUGAGCAGAAUAAUAAAGCAUUUAAAACACAUGCUAUCAUGAAAUGCAUCACAUCACAACUAAUCAUAUCAAGGAUGAACUUGUCACCAUUUAGCCCUCUACAUAUUCCAAUCAUGCCAAGGGCGUAGUGCAGGCCACACCUGGUCUUUCUCUUAUACAUAACAUAACAUACAUAACCAAUGGUGCCGGGGGCGUAGUGCAGGCCACAUCCGGUCUUUCUCUUACAUAGUGCCAGGGGCGUAGUGCAUGCCACACCUGGACUUCCAUACCAUAUCCUCAUGUCAUAACAUCUGAGGGCUAAUGGAUCAUUCAACAUUCAUCCACAUCAACAACAUAUUAUGCAAUGCAACAUAUUCGUGAUUUCUAAUGCAAACAACCUAAAAUAUCUCAUGGCAUCCGUGAUGCAUGAACAUGCUCAAAACUGAUUUAUUUACUUGAAACAUAAGGAGUCAUUCUACUCACCUCUGGCUAGCUCUGACACUGACUGAAGCAACUGACCCACUGCUGGGGUCCUCGGUUCC
This 785-nucleotide long non-coding RNA is filed under the name Manihot esculenta (cassava). RNAcentral describes it as "long non-coding RNA (MESC_LNC005958)". Lineage: Eukaryota; Viridiplantae; Streptophyta; Magnoliopsida; Malpighiales; Euphorbiaceae. The record is from RNAcentral.